AUUGAACGCUGGCGGCAUGCCUUACACAUGCAAGUCGAACGGCAGCACGGGUGCUUGCACCUGGUGGCGAGUGGCGAGCGGGUGAGUAAUACAUCGGAACAUGUCCUGUAGUGGGGGAUAGCCCGGCGAAAGCCGGAUUAAUACCGCAUACGAUCUACGGAUGAAAGCGGGGGACCUUCGGGCCUCGCGCUAUAGGGUUGGCCGAUAGCUGAUUAGCUAGUUGGUGGGGUAAAGGCCUACCAAGGCGACGAUCAGUAGCUGGUCUGAGAGGACGACCAGCCACACUGGGACUGAGACACGGCCCAGACUCCUACGGGAGGCAGCAGUGGGGAAUUUUGGACAAUGGGCGAAAGCCUGAUCCAGCAAUGCCGCGUGUGUGAAGAAGGCCUUCGGGUUGUAAAGCACUUUUGUCCGGAAAGAAAUCCUUGGCUCUAAUACAGUCGGGGGAUGACGGUACCGGAAGAAUAAGCACCGGCUAACUACGUG
Molecule: ribosomal RNA, 486 nt
Filed under: uncultured bacterium
Lineage: Bacteria
Description: partial 16S ribosomal RNA
Rfam family: Bacterial small subunit ribosomal RNA
Source: RNAcentral